Molecule: long non-coding RNA, 1134 nt
Filed under: Salmo salar (Atlantic salmon)
Lineage: Eukaryota; Metazoa; Chordata; Actinopteri; Salmoniformes; Salmonidae
Description: lncRNA (ENSSSAG00000095491.1)
Source: RNAcentral
GUACACACCCUGUAUGGUAGGGGUUAGGGUUAGAGUUAACACUAGGUACACACCCUGUAUGGUAGGGGUUAGGGUUAACACUAGGUACACAUCCUGUAUGGUAGGGGUUAGGGUUAUAGUUAACACUAGGUACACACCCUGUAUGGUAGGGGUUAGGGUUAACACUAGGUACACAUCCUGUAUGGUAGGGGUUAGGGUUAACACUAGGUACACACCCUGUAUGGUAGGGGUUAGAGUUAACACUAGGUACACACCCUGUAUGGUAGGGGUUAGGGUUAACACUAGGUACACAUCCUGUAUGGUAGGGGUUAGAGUUAACACUAGGUACACACCCUGUAUGGUAGGGGUUAUAGUUAACACUAGGUACACACCCUGUAUGGUAGGGGUUAGAGUUAACACUAGGUACACACCCUGUAUGGUAGGGGUUAGGGUUAACACUAGGUACACACCCUGUAUGGUAGGGGUUAGAGUUAACACUAGGUACACAUCCUGUAUGGUAGGGGUUAGAGUUAACACUAGGUACACACCCUGUAUGGUAGGGGUUAGAGUUAACACUAGGUACACAUCCUGUAUGGUAGGGGUUAGAGUUAACACUAGGUACACAUCCUGUAUGGUAGGGGUUAGAGUUAGAGUUAACACUAGGUACACACCCUGUAUGGUAGGGGUUAGAGUUAACACUAGGUACACACCCUGUAUGGUAGGGGUUAGGGUUAACACUAGGUACACAUCCUGUAUGGUAGGGGUUAGAGUUAACACUAGGUACACAUCCUGUAUGGUAGGGGUUAGGGUUAGAGUUAACACUAGGUACACACCCUGUAUGGUAGGGGUUAGAGUUAACACUAGGUACACACCCUGUAUGGUAGGGGUUAGGGUUAACACUAGGUACACAUCCUGUAUGGUAGGGGUUAGGGUUAUAGUUAACACUAGGUUAUACAUUACAUACAGUACUACUACCACUGUCUUUACCAUCACACACACACACACUCUGUCCUUACUGACACACUCAAUCACACACAUACACACUAACACACUCUGUCCUUACUGAGACACACUCACACGCUCACACAAACUCUAUCCUUACUGACACUCACACACACACACACACACACACACACACACACACACACACACACA